Molecule: ribosomal RNA, 799 nt
Filed under: uncultured Glomus
Lineage: Eukaryota; Fungi; Glomeromycota; Glomeromycetes; Glomerales; Glomeraceae
Description: SSU rRNA
Rfam family: Eukaryotic small subunit ribosomal RNA
Source: RNAcentral
AUCAACUUUCGAUGGUAGGAUAGAGGCCUACCAUGGUGGUGACGGGUGACGGAGAAUUAGGGUUCGAUUCCGGAGAGGGAGCCUGAGAAACGGCUACCACAUCCAAGGAUGGCAGCAGGCGCGCAAAUUACCCAAUCCCGACACGGGGAGGUAGUGACAAUAAAUAACAAUACGGGGUUCUUUAGGAUCUCGUAAUUGGAAUGAGUACAAUUUAAAUCUCUUAACGAGGAACAAUUGGAGGGCAAGUCUGGUGCCAGCAGCCGCGGUAAUUCCAGCUCCAAUAGCGUAUAUUAAAGUUGUUGCAGUUAAAAAGCUCGUAGUUGAAUUUCGGGGUUAGUAGGUUGGUCAUGCCUCUGGUAUGUACUGAUCUCACUGAUUCCUCCUUCCUUAUGAACCGUAAUGCCAUUAAUUUGGUGUUGCGGGGAAUUUGGACUGUUACUUUGAAAAAAUUAGAGUGUUUAAAGCAGGCUAACGCUUGAAUACAUUAGCAUGGAAUAAUGAAAUAGGACGUUCGAUCUUAUUUUGUUGGUUUCUAGGAUUGACGUAAUGAUUAAUAGGGAUAGCUGGGGGCAUUAGUAUUCAAUUGUCAGAGGUGAAAUUCUUGGAUUUAUUGAAGACUAACUACUGCGAAAGCAUUUGCCAAGGAUGUUUUCAUUAAUCAAGAACGAAAGUUAGGGGAUCGAAGACGAUCAGAUACCGUCGUAGUCUUAACCAUAAACUAUGCCGACUAGGGAUCGGAUGAUGUUAAUUUUUUAAUGACUCAUUCGGCGCCUUACGGGAAACCAAAGUGUUUGGGUUC